GUGAGGAAUAUUGGUCAAUGGACGGAAGUCUGAACCAGCCAUGCCGCGUGCAGGAAUAAGGUCCUAUGGAUUGUAAACUGCUUUUAUUCGGGAAUAAACCUCUUUACGUGUAGGGAGCUGAAGGUACCGAAGGAAUAAGCACCGGCUAACUCCGUGCCAGCAGCCGCGGUAAUACGGAGGGUGCAAGCGUUAUCCGGAAUCAUUGGGUUUAAAGGGUCCGCAGGCGAGCUAUCAAGUCAGAGGUGAAAUCCCACAGCUUAACUGUGGAACUGCCAUUGAAACUGAUGGUCUUGAAUUAAGUGGGCGUUGGCGGAAUAUGACAUGUAGCGGUGAAAUGCAUAGAUAUGUCAUGGAACACCGAAAGCGAAGGCAGCUAACGAUACUUAUAUUGACGCUCAUGGACGAAAGCGUGGGUAGCGAACAGGAUUAGAAACCCGAGUAGUCC
This 445-nucleotide ribosomal RNA is filed under the name uncultured bacterium. RNAcentral's name for it is "partial 16S ribosomal RNA". It matches the Rfam family "Bacterial small subunit ribosomal RNA", at positions 354 to 796 of the family's 1533-position model. The record is from RNAcentral.